This 497-nucleotide ribosomal RNA is filed under the name uncultured bacterium. RNAcentral's name for it is "partial 16S ribosomal RNA". It matches the Rfam family "Bacterial small subunit ribosomal RNA", at positions 28 to 507 of the family's 1533-position model. The record is from RNAcentral.
GAUGAACGCUGGCGGCGUGCCUAAUACAUGCAAGUCGAGCGAACAGACGAGGAGCUUGCUCCUCUGACGUUAGCGGCGGACGGGUGAGUAACACGUGUAUAACCUACCUAUAAGACUGGGAUAACUUCGGGAAACCGGAGCUAAUACCGGAUAAUAUAUUGAACCGCAUGGUUCAAUAGUGAAAGUCGGUUUUGCUGUCACUUAUAGAUGGAUCCGCGCCGCAUUAGCUAGUUGGUAAGGUAACGGCUUAGCAAGGCAACGAUGCGUAGCCGACCUGAGAGGGUGAUCGGCCACACGGGAAGUGAGACACGGUCCAGACUCCUACGGGAGGCAGCAGUAGGGAAUCUUCCGCAAUGGGCGAAAGCCUGACGGAGCAACGCCGCGUGAGUGAUGAAGGUCUUCGGAUCGUAAAACUCUGUUAUGAGGGAAGAACAAAUGUGUAAGUAACUAUGCACGUCUUGACGGUACCUAAUCAGAAAGCCACGGCUAACUACGUG